GUCCUAGCCGUAAACGUUGGGUGCUAGGUGUGGGGGGACAUCGACCCCCUCCGUGCCGAAGCUAACGCAUUAAGCACCCCGCCUGGGGAGUACGGCCGCAAGGCUAAAACUCAAAGGAAUUGACGGGGCCCCGCACAAGCGGCGGAGCAUGUUGCUUAAUUCGAUGCGACGCGAAGAACCUUACCUGGGCUUGACAUGCAGGGUGAAACCCGUGAAAGCGGGCGCUCUUCGGAGCCUGCACAGGUGGUGCAUGGCUGUCGU
Molecule: ribosomal RNA, 261 nt
Filed under: uncultured bacterium
Lineage: Bacteria
Description: partial 16S ribosomal RNA
Rfam family: Bacterial small subunit ribosomal RNA
Source: RNAcentral